UCUGCUCUUUUCUUUGGGGAGCCAGUCUCCGCCCCAUCUUUUCCCACCUUGGCUCCUGCCCAGGCUUGGGGCUGACCUCCUGAACUUUGGCCCAAGGUCAAGGCUUUCACAAGGCCGGAAGCAGUGAAGGUGGGGGCUCAAUUAUGACCAAAAAAUGACAUGGGCUGGAGUUGACCCAGGGUUCAGAGAGAAGAGGAAUGAGGAAAGGCCUGUUUUCAGAGGCUCUGGGAGGACAUAUGCCUGGAGGGAAUGGCCUUCUUCUCAAAGGAAGCAAAGUGCUUAUAUUGAGAGAGGUCCUGAGAGAUCCUAUUUGCUCAUCCUGCUUUUUUUUGCAGAUGGGGAAACUGAGGCCUAGCAAUGGGAAGGGACUUGGCCAAAGUCACACAGGCCAACCAUCCAGGGAACACCCAGCUAAGCCCUUCCUCUCUCUGAGUAACUUCUGACCAGCUGCUCAUCUGUCCUCCCGCUGUCCUUACUUUGGCUGCCCCGGUGGGGAGCUCACCCACAGUGCUGACAUCUCCUGGUUACUUGUGUCUCUCCAACUGGACUGUGAGUCCCUGAGGUCAGGGAUGGGCCCUGUGUCCUGUUCCACAGAUAUGCCCUCAAUAACGACUACGGUGGAGGGAUGAAAGAUCCUUGCAUGGAAAACAGCCGCCACAAGGAACCUGAGGUCAGAGCAUUUUGGAAUCCCCAUGGUGGACAAAGCCAAAGGAAGUGGACACUCUGGUCUCCCCAGGGAAACAUUUUUCCAGCAAGCAAUAUCAUUCCCUGGACAGGCCAUGGAGGACAAGUUCAAGGGUCUUUCCCCCGAGUGUUUCACUGUGAGGAUCUUCAUAAAACAUGAAGUACAAACUUCACGUUCUCACCACAGAGGUGGCUGAAGCAAACAGUAUUUUGGGUCUCUUCUGCCUUUUUUUUCUUGACUGGGGAAAAAUACCUUUUGUCUCCGUGGUAGCAAAGUUCCUCGUCUCCCUUGACCCCACUGUAAACCCAAAAGCAAGGGAAACAACUCUGCAAUGUUUCUGAGAGAAAAAACAAUCUGAAAAGUCAUGUUUUUUGUUUUUUUUUUUCCUCCUGGAACAUUGUGAGAAGUUGUUUUCUUGUUUUUUAAAGUCCAAACCCACUAAUUUUUCUUUAAAAAAAAAAAAAAUGUAAGAGGGCUUUCAUCCCUGACCCUCUGAAUGUCUGGAGGCAGGGAGCCUGG
Panthera uncia (snow leopard) is the source of this 1204-nucleotide long non-coding RNA. RefSeq lists it as uncharacterized. NCBI's taxonomy places the organism in Eukaryota, Metazoa, Chordata, Mammalia, Carnivora, Felidae. The record is from RefSeq and is a predicted model, not a curated record. The transcript has 3 exons.